RNAcentral lists this long non-coding RNA (510 nucleotides) under Homo sapiens (human). Its description in RNAcentral is "non-protein coding lnc-KHNYN-2:2". Lineage: Eukaryota; Metazoa; Chordata; Mammalia; Primates; Hominidae. The record is from RNAcentral.
AUUUUCCUGUUGCUCCUCUGGCCACCCUCCCAAUGGAUCCGUGUGGUCCCUGGCAGGAAUGUCUUGCUUGGGGACCGAGUGAGCUCUUAGAGCCUUUCUGCUGCUUCCUCUACCCCUGUAUUUUACUCAGCUCUCUAAAUUGACUCAGUGCCAGGUCUGCUGCAGUUUGCUGGAGGUCCACUCCAGACUCUAUGUACCUGGAUAUCACCAGCGGAAGCUGCAGAAUAGCAAAGAUUGCUUCCUGGUCCUUCCUCUGGAAGCUUCAUCCCAGAGGGGCACUGGCCUGAUGUCAGCUGGAGCUCUCCUGUAUGAGAUUUUCUGUAAAUGCUGCCCACCCCCACUGCCUCUGCCUGAUGACGUCCUCUGGGUGCUUGUGUGAGAAUCAUGCAGUGACCACAUCAUCACCCACAGCUGAUGACUCAGAGUGGACCACCUAUUCAGCCCAGAGCAGGAACCCAAGCCUAUGAAGUGAAUUGUAGGAUGUGGUAUCAGCCAGUAGAGGUACUGGAG